GGGCUCCGCAACGGGAGAGGCCAUAACAGUGAGAGGCCUGCGUACCGCAAAAAAAAAAAAAAAAAAAAAAAAAAAAAAUAGUGAAAUUUCAAAGUAGGCAAACAGUAUCACCCUCACUUGUCUUUCCUAGCUUUUGAACUUCUUUACUUUUUUGAAAUCUGGAGGCAAUUGAUAAUUGUAGAAUUCCUCAAACAUAAUAGAAUAUGUUUAAAAGUACCUUUAAAUUUUGUUUAAUGUAUUUUUAUGGAUUAGAAAUGAUAGUAAUGUAAAUGAGUGGCUUAUGUACUUUGAAAUAAAAGUGUUAACAGUAAAUUAGACAUCUGAACAAAUAAAAUUCAAUAAAUUAAAGUUCAAUAAAUUAAAUAAGCAACAACUUUUAAAAUAGCUCAAAUUCAAUUCAAGAAACAUUUAUUAAACCUUUACCAUGCAUGAGGUACUAGGCAAGGUAUUUGUGAUAUAGGCAGGUUUUAUUUUCCAUCAUGGAGCUUAUGGUCUAAAAGGGAAUGCAUACAUUAAGCCGGUAAAUAUAUUUAAGUUUAGUGACUGUUACAAAAGGAAAUACAUGGAACUGUGGAAACUGACAGCAAGGAGUUGGAGACUGCAACAGGCAGGGGAGUUUCAGAUGGAGGAAGGAACACAUGAAAAAGGAUAGGGGCUUAUCUUCUGAGCAUGUUGAGUAUGAGGUAGCUGAGAUAUCCAGGUGGAGAUUGUUUGGAUGGCAGUUGGUGAGGUGGGGAGUGGAUUAUAGACUAGAAAUUGAGACUUGGAAAUCAUCGAGGUUUUGAUUAUCAUUUCAGUUAUGAGAUGGAAGAGGUUAGUCACUUAGGGAGGAAGUAUAGAAGCUGAUGAACUCCCAAAUUUAAAAGGCAAGUAGAGCUACAGGAGCUUAUCACAGUGAUUGGGAAAGGAGCAGCCAGCGACCAAAGCAAGAGAGUAUUUCGUCGGGGGUGAAUAAUAUUACAUGCUGUAAGAGGUAAAAGAGAG
This is a long non-coding RNA of Aethalodelphis obliquidens (Pacific white-sided dolphin), 984 nucleotides long. RefSeq lists it as uncharacterized. The record is from RefSeq and is a predicted model, not a curated record. The transcript has 2 exons. Lineage: Eukaryota; Metazoa; Chordata; Mammalia; Artiodactyla; Delphinidae.